GUUACCUGUUUACUUGUGUCUCUGUAUCCUGCUGGACUAUAUGCCCUUUAAAGCAAGUAGAGCACAUUACUCAUCACUCAAUCUCCAGGACCAAGUUAAUGUUCUGUGUAUAGUAAUGUCGAUAGCAACAUCUCCCCCAGGUGUAACAACUAAACGUGUCUCCAGACAUUGGCAAAUAUCCUUGGGCCAUGGAGAAAACAUCACCUUCAAUUGAAAACCACUGGGCCACUCUAAUGCCUUCAAGUAGAGACGGGGUUUCUCCAUGUUGGCCAGACUGGUCUCGAAUGCCUGACUUCAGGCGAUCCACCCGCCUCAGCCUCCCAAAGUGCUGGGAUUACAGGUGUGAGCCACUGUGCCCGGCCAGAAUGUCUAAUUUUAAAAGGUGCUAGAGAUCUUCCAUCUAAGCUUCUCACUUUAAAAGAGAUACUGGAUUGUAAGAGGAAGCCAAGAGUCUCAGGCCCUUCGCCCUUGCUUCUCAGAAAAGAACAGCUAACCAUUGCCAACCAGAAUGCAUAGAAACUGAACUACUUCUGUGUCUGCAAUCGUCAUCUUGGACAAAUUACCUAAACUGCUUGGGCUGAGAUAUGUGAAUUCAGAUAUUGAAGCUUAUUUAUACCUUCAUAAUUCUAUGCUUCCAUAAUGAUUAAAUCCACCAUAGUAAUAAAUAAAGGCCUUAA
Pan troglodytes (chimpanzee) is the source of this 677-nucleotide long non-coding RNA. RefSeq lists it as uncharacterized. The record is from RefSeq and is a predicted model, not a curated record. Lineage: Eukaryota; Metazoa; Chordata; Mammalia; Primates; Hominidae. The transcript is spliced from 4 exons.